Long non-coding RNA from Acipenser ruthenus (sterlet), 472 nucleotides. RefSeq lists it as uncharacterized. The transcript has 3 exons. The record is from RefSeq and is a predicted model, not a curated record. Lineage: Eukaryota; Metazoa; Chordata; Actinopteri; Acipenseriformes; Acipenseridae.
GGGACACGACCACAGGGAAAAUACACGCUAAUAUAAAAAAACAAAUUCGCAACCGAUUUGCUGCAGGAGACCAGGGAAAUCGAAUUCAAGCGAGUUUCUUUUUGUUUUGCAAGCCAGCCCCCAGACGCCUGGGUCAUUGUGACAGAUAGCAGGGAAUGCAGUGUAAGCUACCAGGCCAGAUAAAGAAGCGGACUGGAACUGGAAUUGGAACCAGCAGGUUUGCUACUGGCAAGAGGGGAAUGAGACUCUGGACAACCACUUGCAGCACCAGGCAGCAGAGAUGAGCCAGGAUGGAUACAACUGGUACACUCUGUCCAGCGCAGUGAGCAGUGGGGAACGCCAAGGGCUGCAAACCAUCACGGAAGAGAGAGUGAAAAAAAUACAUUAUAAAAUGACUCAUGAUUCAGAAAUGUACGGAAGGGUAUUAGGGCUGGAAAAAUGCAUUUAAAAGCUCAAUUGCUACGCAACUCAA